This 65-nucleotide transfer RNA is filed under the name Lasioglossum morio. RNAcentral describes it as "tRNA-Tyr". Lineage: Eukaryota; Metazoa; Arthropoda; Insecta; Hymenoptera; Halictidae. The record is from RNAcentral.
AAUAUUAUGCCUGAUUAAAGGAAUAAAUUGUAAAUUUAUCUAUGAAAUUAGUUUUUCUAAUAUUA